RNAcentral lists this ribosomal RNA (434 nucleotides) under uncultured Lachnospiraceae bacterium. RNAcentral describes it as "partial 16S ribosomal RNA". It matches the Rfam family "Bacterial small subunit ribosomal RNA", at positions 341 to 792 of the family's 1533-position model. The record is from RNAcentral. Lineage: Bacteria; Bacillati; Bacillota; Clostridia; Lachnospirales; Lachnospiraceae.
ACGGGAGGCAGCAGUGGGGGAUAUUGCACAAUGGGGGAAACCCUGAUGCAGCGACGCCGCGUGAGUGAUGAAGUAUUUCGGUAUGUAAAGCUCUAUCAGCAGGAAAGAUAAUGACGGUACCUGACUAAGAAGCACCGGCUAAAUACGUGCCAGCAGCCGCGGUAAUACGUAUGGUGCAAGCGUUGUCCGGAUUUACUGGGUGUAAAGGGCGCGUAGGCGGGAUGACAAGUCAGAUGUGAAAUCCAUGGGCUCAACCCAUGAACUGCAUUUGAAACUGCCAUUCUUGAGUAUCGGAGAGGCAAGCGGAAUUCCUAGUGUAGCGGUGAAAUGCGUAGAUAUUAGGAGGAACACCAGUGGCGAAGGCGGCUUGCUGGACGAAAACUGACGCUGAGGCGCGAAAGCGUGGGGAGCAAACAGGAUUAGAUACCCUGGUA